Molecule: ribosomal RNA, 1614 nt
Filed under: Escherichia coli
Lineage: Bacteria; Pseudomonadati; Pseudomonadota; Gammaproteobacteria; Enterobacterales; Enterobacteriaceae
Description: partial 23S ribosomal RNA
Rfam family: Bacterial large subunit ribosomal RNA
Source: RNAcentral
AAUGGGUCAGCGACUUAUAUUCUGUAGCAAGGUUAACCGAAUAGGGGAGCCGAAGGGAAACCGAGUCUUAACUGGGCGUUAAGUUGCAGGGUAUAGACCCGAAACCCGGUGAUCUAGCCAUGGGCAGGUUGAAGGUUGGGUAACACUAACUGGAGGACCGAACCGACUAAUGUUGAAAAAUUAGCGGAUGACUUGUGGCUGGGGGUGAAAGGCCAAUCAAACCGGGAGAUAGCUGGUUCUCCCCGAAAGCUAUUUAGGUAGCGCCUCGUGAAUUCAUCUCCGGGGGUAGAGCACUGUUUCGGCAAGGGGGUCAUCCCGACUUACCAACCCGAUGCAAACUGCGAAUACCGGAGAAUGUUAUCACGGGAGACACACGGCGGGUGCUAACGUCCGUCGUGAAGAGGGAAACAACCCAGACCGCCAGCUAAGGUCCCAAAGUCAUGGUUAAGUGGGAAACGAUGUGGGAAGGCCCAGACAGCCAGGAUGUUGGCUUAGAAGCAGCCAUCAUUUAAAGAAAGCGUAAUAGCUCACUGGUCGAGUCGGCCUGCGCGGAAGAUGUAACGGGGCUAAACCAUGCACCGAAGCUGCGGCAGCGACGCUUAUGCGUUGUUGGGUAGGGGAGCGUUCUGUAAGCCUGUGAAGGUGUACUGUGAGGUAUGCUGGAGGUAUCAGAAGUGCGAAUGCUGACAUAAGUAACGAUAAAGCGGGUGAAAAGCCCGCUCGCCGGAAGACCAAGGGUUCCUGUCCAACGUUAAUCGGGGCAGGGUGAGUCGACCCCUAAGGCGAGGCCGAAAGGCGUAGUCGAUGGGAAACAGGUUAAUAUUCCUGUACUUGGUGUUACUGCGAAGGGGGGACGGAGAAGGCUAUGUUGGCCGGGCGACGGUUGUCCCGGUUUAAGCGUGUAGGCUGGUUUUCCAGGCAAAUCCGGAAAAUCAAGGCUGAGGCGUGAUGACGAGGCACUACGGUGCUGAAGCAACAAAUGCCCUGCUUCCAGGAAAAGCCUCUAAGCAUCAGGUAACAUCAAAUCGUACCCCAAACCGACACAGGUGGUCAGGUAGAGAAUACCAAGGCGCUUGAGAGAACUCGGGUGAAGGAACUAGGCAAAAUGGUGCCGUAACUUCGGGAGAAGGCACGCUGAUAUGUAGGUGAAGCGACUUGCUCGUGGAGCUGAAAUCAGUCGAAGAUACCAGCUGGCUGCAACUGUUUAUUAAAAACACAGCACUGUGCAAACACGAAAGUGGACGUAUACGGUGUGACGCCUGCCCGGUGCCGGAAGGUUAAUUGAUGGGGUUAGCGCAAGCGAAGCUCUUGAUCGAAGCCCCGGUAAACGGCGGCCGUAACUAUAACGGUCCUAAGGUAGCGAAAUUCCUUGUCGGGUAAGUUCCGACCUGCACGAAUGGCGUAAUGAUGGCCAGGCUGUCUCCACCCGAGACUCAGUGAAAUUGAACUCGCUGUGAAGAUGCAGUGUACCCGCGGCAAGACGGAAAGACCCCGUGAACCUUUACUAUAGCUUGACACUGAACAUUGAGCCUUGAUGUGUAGGAUAGGUGGGAGGCUUUGAAGUGUGGACGCCAGUCUGCAUGGAGCCGACCUUGAAAUACCACCCUUUAAUGU